Molecule: ribosomal RNA, 3741 nt
Filed under: Triticum aestivum (bread wheat)
Lineage: Eukaryota; Viridiplantae; Streptophyta; Magnoliopsida; Poales; Poaceae
Description: partial small subunit ribosomal RNA
Source: RNAcentral
AUGGCGGAAGAUCUACCUCUGCUCGCAGGGAGGUCGGCGGCAACGCUUGCCCUGUCGUUGCUGGAUAAAGCCUUCUCCCACCUGGCCGGCGGAGCCGAAGAAAUUUACAAGGAAGAGCUGCUGGAAUGUGUCCGGAGGAUCCUGACAAUCUUGGACGAAGCCGAGCGCCGGCUGAUCAAAUGGCGGUUCCCGAGCCUCGAAAUCUCUAUCUGGGAGUUCACUAGGGCCGUCGACGAGAUCGAGGACGCCGUCGACGAGAUCCAAUACCACAGGCUAGAGGACGCGGCCGUUCGCCGCGGCCCCGUCUCCAAGCUUGUCAAGAGGAAGAUUCUUGCUAGGUUCGUGCCUGGCAGCGGCCUGGAGAGGCUGAGGGAGGCCGUGGUGAGACUGGGCCAUAUGGCGUCCGUCGUGUACCGAUACUACCAGCGCUCGGUCGCUCGCCGUGCUCCGGGGGUCGCCGCGCCCUCUCCCUCCGAGCACGAGCGCUACCCGAGCUGGACCGCGGCGGAUGCGGUGGUCGGCCGAGACGAGGAGAAGGGGCAGGUGAUGCGGUGGCUGAUGAAGCUCCCAGCUGAAGAGGCUGAAACUAACCCAGUGUCGGCUUUUGCAAUAGUGGGGAUGGCCGGCAUGGGGAAAUCAGCACUGGCUAAACUCGUUCACGACGACCCGCAGGUGCAAACCAAUUUCGACAUUGUUGUGUGGGUGAAGGUGUCAUUUGAGUUCAGAGCCGCGGCAGUGGUCAGUGACAUACUGAGAUCGAUUGCUGCCACGGAACCUGGAUCCUCUGCUUCUGCUCAUUUGGCAGAGAAGCUCAGAGAUAAGAAGCUUCUGCUCAUUCUAGAUGAUGUCUGGGAAGACGAGAUGAGGGGAAGAUGGGAAGAUUUGCUGUCCCCAAUACGGUCUGCCAAGAGAGGAAGCAAAAUCCUGUUGACCACUAGGAUGCAAUCAGUAGCAGAUAUGGCUGCCACCACAAUAGGAGGUGAAUUUGAGUGUCUGAAACUGGAUGGAUUACAGGAGAGCGACAAUUUCUUGCUCUUCAAAAGCCUACUGAAUCCUGAUGUGAACUCGGAAGAUUAUGCCAACCUUCUGCUGAUUGGUGAACAGAUAUCGAAAAGGUUUGGAGCCUGCCCCUUCCUAACAUUAGCGGUCGUUUCGCACCUGAGGGAUGAUUUGAAAACUAGUUGGACUGAUGUACUGCAACAACAUUGGUACCAAAUUGAAGGAAUUUAUAGCAUUCUUCCAUCUCUCAAACUGAGCUACGACCAUCUACCUGCACGGCUGCAAAUUUGCUUUAGGUAUUGUAGUUUGUUUCCAAGGGGGCACAAAUUUUACAUGGACAAAUUGGUAGACAUGUGGGUCAGUUCUGGACUAAUACCUUUUCCCUCAAGGGAGCCUGGUGAUAGCUUACCGGCAACAGAUAAUGUUAGCAUUCUGAACCCAGUGGAUGUCGGGGAAGAGUACUUCACAGCAUUGACAAGAAAAUCAUUCUUUUGCCGUAUGCUGGAAACAGAUCCUUGUGGUGGAAACCAGAAAGAAUAUUAUGUUUUACACAGUUUGCUGCAUGACUUGGCACAACUUGUCUCUCGAGGUGAAUGCGCAAGAGUGGAUAAUGGUGGUUUCCAAGAUGUCAUGUGGACAACCCGACACAUAUCUAUUGCAAACUGUGGCAUCCUUACUCAUGAAAGAGCCCGGAAGAUAUCUUAUUUGAGGAGUUUGCGGACUCUUAUAAUAGAAAGUGAGUCCUGUCUUGAUCAAGAAACUGAACUUUUGCUUGGAGAGAUUCUGAAGAGUACAAAAUGCUUACGCCUGCUGCAAUUGUCUGUGCCAUCUCCAUUUCAUGUACUCGAUAGAUUUCCCAACCUAAUUCAUCUCCGUUAUAUUUCCUUAAUCUCAUGUGACGAGUCCCAUCUUCAUAAAAUCUUUAAAUCCUACCAUCUGCAAGUACUCAAGCUCAGCUACUUGACAGCAAAAGAACCAGACUUGAGCGACAUGUAUAAUUUACGUUGCUUACGUUCUUUGCAUAUUCCUGACAAUAUGUCAUCCAAGAUUCAUAAACUUGGAAGGUUAACCUCACUUCAGGUUUUACGUGGAUUUGAGGUGGUGCAAAAUGAUGGUAGCAGGCUGAGUACACUGAGCAAUUUAAGAAGCCUUCGUCAACUUGGCCUGAUGAAUCUUCAAAAUGUCCAAAAUUGCAGAGAAGCUAUGGAGGUCAAAUUAAAGGAAAAACAUGACAUGAGGAUUUUGCUGUUAUCAUGGAACAGAUACAAUAAUGAUACACGGCUAGAUGAUCAGAUUAUCGGCAAUCUUGAACCAAAUAGGGAAAUUCAAAUACUGCAUAUCCAUGGAUACAAUGGAUCCGUACUUCCAUUUUGGAUUGCUAAUUCCUUGCUUGUCAAUUUGGUAUCACUUGAGCUUGAGUACUGUAUUAAAUGGAAGAGCCUGCCAUCUCUUCAGGAACUAAAUUUACUCCAGCAUGUGAAGUUGCAGCAUCUUUUUCAGUUAGAAUACAUGGGAUUGGAGCUCAAGGAGCUAACUGAUACCAAUGAACCAGGGAUUGUUUGUUUACCCCGUUUUCUUCGUAGCCUAAUCAUUGGAUGGUGCCCUAACCUGAAGAUACUUCCCACUAUACCUCCUAGCCUAGAGGUACUGAUAUUAAAGCAUGUUGGGUUUAUGGUUCUUCCAGGAAUACACCAGAGGGAAUCAAAGACAUCAGUCAAAUCUGAGCUUACAUUUGUACACAUUCAAAGCUGCGCACAUCUGACUUCUCUAGAUAAAGGGUUACUAGAGUGUCAAGAACAACUUGGUUCUCUAUCUACAUUAAUCAUAAGUCAUUGUGAAAGUCUACGCCAUCUACCAAGGAAUGGUUUUGCAGCACUGCAUCACCUGAAAUUCCUGGAAAUGGUUGCCUGUCCAUUGCUGAAGGAUGGCAAUACUGAAGGAAAUAUUCUGCCAAUUUCACUCAAGAACUUGGAUAUGAAUCCUUGCGGUAGUAUUGAUGUUUCAAUGCUCUUGUCACUUCGAAAUCUGUCCUUUCUUACAAAGUUAACACUGUUCAAUUGCACCAACCUGGAGAAACUUCCUCCGGCGGAAAUAUUUGGAACUCUGCAAGUUCUUUCUGAUCUGUCAGUAGCUAGAUGCAGAGGCUUGUUAUCCUUUGGGGGUCUUGGAGCUGUUUCUUCCCUGAGAAUGCUGUCGAUCCUAUGCUGCGACAAGCUCAACCUUUCAGACUCGCCGCAGGGUUGUUGUUCCUUUAUGCUACAAGAGCUCAGAAUCGAUUGCCAGGCCCUGUUGUUUGUGGAGCCACUUCAGAGCCUCAGAUACACUAAAGAGCUAUAUAUCUGCAAUGACUGUGCAAUGGAGUCCUUAGCCGAGGGAUGGUUGCUGCAGAAUGCUACUUCCCUCCAUUCCAUCAAGAUAGGAAUUGCCGAAUCUCUGCAAUCCUUGCCAUCUCAGAUGGAUAAGCUUGAAGCGUUACAGAGUUUGCACAUUGAAAGGGCCCCUCUGAUGAAGCUACUCCCACAACUGCCUGCCUCACUUAGCAAGCUGACAAUUUGGGGCUGUGACCCAAUGUUUAUGAAGCAGUAUGAAAAGGAUGUUGGUCCGAACUGGGGCCAGGUCAAGCACAUUGCUCAUGUGGAUAUAAAGUCCUAUUCUGAAGGAAUGAGCUGCAGUAAUGAUCAGAUUCAAGGUUUUGAGAAAAAUGCCUAUAAUCCACGCCAUCCAUUUGUUGUCAUAGAGUAG